AAAAAGUCUCUUCAGGAUUGUGCAUGUUCCUAGCUGUUGAGGAAAAAGUGGACAAGGCCCGCAUAUAGACUUGCAAUGUUUUGAGCCAGCUCAUAGCAUCUGAAUUCCCUUACUGCAGGUGAGAAGGAGAGUGCACAGUAAGCAGUACUACUGGAAGGAAAAGAAACACCCAGUCUCUCCUCAGGACCUAUCAAGCAAGAAACCUCUGAUGGAUGGAUUUCUGACAAUGGCACACUUUGGUUGCAGCAAGAGAGACUUGACCAUCUGGAAUAUCCAGAUCAUCUUGAAAUAUGCAUCUCAUCAAACUGCCCUUUUUUCCUUCCCAAAGCUGAUUGAAAGUGUAUUGCAGGAGUUGAGACAGGAAAACACCUAGAUUUGCAUGUGUCACUUUUGCUUCUGUUUUGAAAGAAAGGAGGGUUACUAUAACUGGAAUCUGCUAAAAAACACAACCCAACUAAACAUAUCAAAAUGUCUAGGUUGAAAUUAAAUAGAGUUAAAGUUGUGGGAUUAUAUAAGCAUAAGAUUGAUCAGUAUUUAGAAGGAAUAAUUAUGUAUUAGAUAUUGAAGAAAGGAGGGCUGAAAUGCAAGACUUGUAGGCUGAGGCCUGCUAGAUUUCAGCUAAGCUAAUUUAGGCCUUGGAGAUAAGUAAGUGACGGAAGAAUAACCUGAUGCCCUAAGAUUAUGGGAAAAGAGGUGCCAAGGGGUAAUAUUGCAAAAAAAAUAUUGCUGGAAGAUUAAUUUUCAAAUAAUAAAAAUGCUGUAGAGGCACAUCUGUCUCUAACGUGUGUCUUAACCACAGGAUACAGGUUUUGCGUCAAUGCUGAUAAGAAUAAAGGGAACCUACACAACCUAUAGGAAUAGGAGUCCCUUAGGUUUCUAUGGGAUACCAGACCAAUAAGGAAAAAGAGGGUUGACUCUUUCAUAUACGUGCACAGAAUGUAGGUAUAGGCAGAAUCACAUUAUAAAAAGGGAUUCCCAGAACAGGAAAAUUGAGCUUCCUGUGGGAAAACUCCAGCAGGAACCAUCCCUCUACUGAUGAUCAAGCCAUGAGAGAACCAUCAGACUAACACUAUCUAGGAGGAUGUGAGUAUGUCUGUAGCUAUAACUGGUGCAUUGCAACACCUAGAAGUUGUUUAUUCGGUGACAUACAUAAUUUGUUGGUAACUUGAAAAAAAGAGAGUGAAUCUUGUUCUUCAGAUUGUGUGUGUCACUUGCCUAUGGUUUUAUGUGUCCCUAUGAGCUCUAGAUCUAAAAUAGGCAGCGCUAACUCUGUUAAACUCAAGACCUAAGCCACCAGAGCCGAACCCUCGCUGGUAUAAUAUAACAUCUCUAAAAUUAACUUUAAAUAAAAAUAAA
Long non-coding RNA from Gopherus evgoodei (Goodes thornscrub tortoise), 1356 nucleotides. RefSeq lists it as uncharacterized. The transcript has 4 exons. Lineage: Eukaryota; Metazoa; Chordata; Testudines; Testudinidae. The record is from RefSeq and is a predicted model, not a curated record.